GACGAACGCUGGCGGCGUGCUUAACACAUGCAAGUCGAACGGUGAAGCGCCUUCCUUUUUGGUGGGUGUGGAUGAGUGGCGAACGGGUGAGUAACACGUGAGUAACCUGCCCCCUUCUUCUGGAUAACCGCAUGAAAGUGUGGCUAAUACGGGAUAUUCUGGUUCUGUCGCAUGAUGGGUCUGGGAAAGAUAUUGUUUCGGUGGGGGAUGGGCCCGCGGCCUAUCAGCUUGUUGGUGGGGUGAUGGCCUACCAGGGCGGUGACGGCUAGCCGGCCUGAGAGGGUGGACGGUCACACAGGGAGUGAGACACGGCCCAGACUCGUACGGGAGGCAGCAGGGGGGAAUAUUGCACAAUGGGCGCAAGCCUGAUGCAGCGACGCCGCGUGAGGGAUGGAGGCCUUCGGGUUGUGAACCUCUUUCGCCAGUGAAGCAGGCCUGCCUCGUUUGUGGGUGGGUUGACGGUGGCUGGAUAAGAAGCGCCGGCUAACUACGUG
RNAcentral lists this ribosomal RNA (494 nucleotides) under uncultured bacterium. Its description in RNAcentral is "partial 16S ribosomal RNA". It matches the Rfam family "Bacterial small subunit ribosomal RNA", at positions 28 to 507 of the family's 1533-position model. The record is from RNAcentral.